CCAGUCUGGCAGACGGGUUGAAGUUAACGUCGAUGAGCGAACGUCACCUUCUUGGUUCGGAUACAAUCACAUGCGCAAAUCUUGUGCUAAUUACCGGAUAAGCCCUUAUCGGGGAAAGAUUUAUCCGCCGAAAGAUCGGCCCUGCGUCUGAUUAGCUAGAUUGGUGUGGUAACUGGCGCUACCAAGGCGACGCAUCAGUAGCUGGUCUGAGAGGAUCGAUCAGCCACAUUGGGACUGAGACACGGCCCAAACUCCAUACGGGAGGCAGCAGUGGUGGAAUAUUGGACAAUGGGCGCAAGCCUGAUCCAUGCCAUGCCGCGUGAGUCGAUCGAAGGCCCUAGGGUUGUAAAGCCCUUUCGGCGGGGAAGAUAAUGACGGUACCCGCAGAAGAAGCCCCGGCUAACUUCGUGCCAGCAGCCGCGGUAAUACGAAGGGGGCUAGCGUUGCUCGGAAUCACUGGGCGUAAAGCGCACGUAGGCUGACUCUUAAGUCGGUGGUGAAAUCCUGGAGCUC
This 513-nucleotide ribosomal RNA is filed under the name uncultured bacterium. Its description in RNAcentral is "bacterial SSU rRNA". It matches the Rfam family "Bacterial small subunit ribosomal RNA", at positions 90 to 610 of the family's 1533-position model. The record is from RNAcentral.